UUUGGUUAUCUGCCUUGCUCGUUCUGUAAGUCCCUCUGAGAAAGACUCGAAUUCUCCCAAACUCCAACACCUCACGUGGUGUUUGGUGUUUAACAGAUGAUUAAAUGAAUGGGCAAAAAGUGGAGGGCAAAAUCUUUAAAAUUGUCUUUUAAGAUUUAAGGAUUUUAGGCGUGAGCCACCGCGCCCAGCCUGAAAAAUUUUAAGUGAUUGUUUGCCGACUUUACAACAGGACGAUGUUGUUGUUCACAGGCCAGUAGGUGGCGCUGUGGCACGUGAUCUGAGCCUCCUGGAUUCACACAACUGUUUAUGUGGAGAACCCAGUGCCGGGACCCAUUAGCACCCCAGUCAGGCUAUGCGUCUCCCUCCCAAGGGUGCUCACCUGGUGUGGCCUCCAUGGCACAGGGGGAGUGAGAUGAGGCUCCUUUAGUACACCCUCCCUUGAGAAGAACGACGUGUGCUUACCCUCCAGUGGCUUGUUCUCAUGAAAGGCUCCACAGUUAGGGACCUUCAGAUGCUUAGAUCUGGGGUGUCACCUGACUCAAGCCCCUCAGAAUCCCAGAUUGUUGUGGUGGGUCAAGGGCAUGGGGCUUUGGGUUUACUGGCCUGGGUCUGAAUGCCAGCAUUGCCUCUUCCUUGGUGUAUAUGACCUUGGGUGGUUACCUU
RNAcentral lists this long non-coding RNA (663 nucleotides) under Pan troglodytes (chimpanzee). RNAcentral's name for it is "long non-coding RNA NONPTRT006391". Lineage: Eukaryota; Metazoa; Chordata; Mammalia; Primates; Hominidae. The record is from RNAcentral.